Molecule: ribosomal RNA, 426 nt
Filed under: uncultured bacterium
Lineage: Bacteria
Description: bacterial SSU rRNA
Rfam family: Bacterial small subunit ribosomal RNA
Source: RNAcentral
AGGGAAUUUUGCGCAAUGGACGAAAGUCUGACGCAGCAACACCGUGUGAGGGAUGAAGCAUUUCGGUGUGUAAACCUCUGUCGAUGAUGAAUAAAGCAUGUGGGAGUGGAAAGCCCAUGUGUUGAAGGUAAUCAUGAAGGAAGCACCGGCUAACUCUGUGCCAGCAGCCGCGGUAAUACAGGGGGUGCAAGCGUUGUUCGGAAUCACUGGGCGUAAAGGGAGCGUAGGCGGGACUACAAGACAGAGGUCAAAUCUCCGGGCUCAACCUGGAACUUGCCUUUGUGACUGUAGCCCUUGAGUAUGGUAGAGGUUGGCGGAAUUUCCGGUGUAGCGGUGGAAUGCGUAGAGAUCGGAAAGAACACCAGAGGCGAAGGCGGCCAACUGGACCAAUACUGACGCUGAGGCUCGAAAGCGUGGGGAGCAAAC